RNAcentral lists this transfer RNA (72 nucleotides) under Neotoma lepida (desert woodrat). It matches the Rfam family "tRNA". Rfam says of the family: Transfer RNA (tRNA) molecules are approximately 80 nucleotides in length. Their secondary structure includes four short double-helical elements and three loops (D, anti-codon, and T loops). Lineage: Eukaryota; Metazoa; Chordata; Mammalia; Rodentia; Cricetidae. The record is from Rfam by way of RNAcentral.
UGGGGUGUGGUUUUGUUGGUAAAGUGCUUGCCUCCCAGGCACAAAGCCUGGGUUCUAGCCCCAGCACUUUAA